Molecule: transfer RNA, 73 nt
Filed under: Dehalococcoidales bacterium
Lineage: Bacteria; Bacillati; Chloroflexota; Dehalococcoidia; Dehalococcoidales
Description: tRNA-Val
Rfam family: tRNA
About the family: Transfer RNA (tRNA) molecules are approximately 80 nucleotides in length. Their secondary structure includes four short double-helical elements and three loops (D, anti-codon, and T loops).
Source: RNAcentral
GGGCGGUUAGCUCAGUGGUUAGAGCGCUUGCUUCACACGCAAGAGGCCACUGGUUCAAGUCCAGUACCGCCCA